CCUACGGGAGGCUGCAGUGAGGAAUAUUGGUCAAUGGCCGCGAGCCUGAACCAGCCAAGUCGCGUGAGGGAAGACGGUCCUAUGGAUUGUAAACCUCUUUUGUCGGGGAGCAAAAGACCCCACGCGUGGCGUUCCGAGAGUACCCGAAGAAAAAGCAUCGGCUAACUCCGUGCCAGCAGCCGCGGUAAUACGGAGGAUGCGAGCGUUAUCCGGAUUUAUUGGGUUUAAAGGGUGCGCAGGCGGAAGAUGAAGUCAGCGGUAAAAUCGAGAGGCUCAACCCCGUCGAGCCGUUGAAACUGGGUGUCUUGAGUGAGCGAGAAGUAUGCGGAAUGCGUGGUGUAGCGGUGAAAUGCAGAGAUAUCGCGCAGAACUCCGAUUGCGAAGGCAGCAUACCGGCGCUCAACUGACGCUCAGGCACGAAAGUGUGGGUAUCGAACAGGAUUAGAUACCCGGGUAGUC
This 459-nucleotide ribosomal RNA is filed under the name uncultured bacterium. Its description in RNAcentral is "partial 16S ribosomal RNA". It matches the Rfam family "Bacterial small subunit ribosomal RNA", at positions 338 to 795 of the family's 1533-position model. The record is from RNAcentral.